Long non-coding RNA from Suricata suricatta (meerkat), 738 nucleotides. RefSeq lists it as uncharacterized. The record is from RefSeq and is a predicted model, not a curated record. NCBI's taxonomy places the organism in Eukaryota, Metazoa, Chordata, Mammalia, Carnivora, Herpestidae. The transcript is spliced from 3 exons.
GAAGGGGUCCCGCCCCAGAGCCCUCCCAGGCGAGGGCCUGGCGGUGACUCAGCAAAGCAGAACGGAGGCCUCUGGGGAUGCCCAGCGCAGCGGGAGGGGCCCAGAGGACCGAAGCGCCAAGUGAUAACAAACUGCCCCCCUAGGUGCUGUCCCCCUGGAAGUCUGCACUCUUCACAGCUUCCCAGGUGGGGUCCUGUGAGAAGUCAGACCUGCUGAGUCAAAGUCCUGUCCUCUCAUGGUGGGGUUUGUGGGAGCAGAAGUAACCCCAUCCCUUGCCAAAGGUUUUCUGAAGUUCCCUGUAUUUUCUUUGGGAUGUGGUGCCAAGCCUGUAGGCCGGUGCUGGGGCAACCAGAGACAAGACCACUGCAGGACUUAGGCCAAGCUGCUGUGGGCCACCUCAAGGACUCUGAGGAUCACAGGGGAUCAAGCCCAUCCAGAGCCCAGGGACUGCGUUGGUUUCUCCACGGAGGAGAGGAGGAACCGAGCGGUUCGUGGGAGGGAGUCCCACACUGCACUUCACUGCUCCUCCCCGGCAAGGGAGAGACACACCCUGGGCUCCUAACUGUGCUAAUUCAUUCCACCUGGUGACUUUCCCCUGGCUCCUCCCCCUACCUGGAACUCUCCCUCCUUCCUCUUGCGUGGCAACUGCUCUGUAAUUGUCACCUCCUCUGCGAGGCCUUUCCUGAUCAACCCCUUGGGAAAAUCCCCAGACACUUGGAUAUUACCUCCAUAUAACCC